GGUGACUGCGUACCUUUUGUAUAAUGGGUCAGCGACUUAUAUUCUGUAGCAAGGUUAACCGUAUAGGGGAGCCGGAGGGAAACCGAGUCUUAAUUGGGCGUUAAGUUGCAGGGUAUAGACCCGAAACCCGGUGAUCUAGCCAUGGGCAGGUUGAAGGUUGGGUAACACUAACUGGAGGACCGAACCGACUAAUGUUGAAAAAUUAGCGGAUGACCUGUGGCUGGGGGUGAAAGGCCAAUCAAACCGGGAGAUAGCUGGUUCUCCCCGAAAGCUAUUUAGGUAGCGCCUCGUGAAUUCAUCUCCGGGGGUAGAGCACUGUUUCGGCUAGGGGGUCAUCCCGACUUACCAACCCGAUGCAAACUGCGAAUACCGGAGAAUGUUAUCACGGGAGACACACGGCGGGUGCUAACGUCCGUCGUGAAGAGGGAAACAACCCAGACCGCCAGCUAAGGUCCCAAAGUCAUGGUUAAGUGGGAAACGAUGUGGGAAGGCCCAGACAGCCAGGAUGUUGGCUUAGAAGCAGCCAUCAUUUAAAGAAAGCGUAAUAGCUCACUGGUCGAGUCGGCCUGCGCGGAAGAUGUAACGGGGCUAAACCAUGCACCGAAGCUGCGGCAGCGACACUCAGGUGUUGUUGGGUAGGGGAGCGUUCUGUAAGCCUGCGAAGGUGGCCUGUGAGGGUUGCUGGAGGUAUCAGAAGUGCGAAUGCUGACAUAAGUAACGAUAAAGCGGGUGAAAAGCCCGCUCGCCGGAAGACCAAGGGUUCCUGUCCAACGUUAAUCGGGGCAGGGUGAGUCGACCCCUAAGGCGAGGCCGAAAGGCGUAGUCGAUGGGAAACGGGUUAAUAUUCCCGUACUUGGUGUUACUGCGAAGGGGGGACGGAGAAGGCUAUGUUGGCCGGGCGACGGUUGUCCCGGUUUAAGCGUGUAGGUGUGUGUUCCAGGUAAAUCCGGUUCACUUUAACACUGAGGCGUGAUGACGAGGCACUACGGUGCUGAAGCAACAAAUGCCCUGCUUCCAGGAAAAGCCUCUAAGCAUCAGGUAACAUCAAAUCGUACCCCAAACCGACACAGGUGGUCAGGUAGAGAAUACCAAGGCGCUUGAGAGAACUCGGGUGAAGGAACUAGGCAAAAUGGUGCCGUAACUUCGGGAGAAGGCACGCUGACACGUAGGUGAAGUGAUUUACUCAUGGAGCUGAAGUCAGUCGAAGAUACCAGCUGGCUGCAACUGUUUAUUAAAAACACAGCACUGUGCAAACACGAAAGUGGACGUAUACGGUGUGACGCCUGCCCGGUGCCGGAAGGUUAAUUGAUGGGGUCAGCGCAAGCGAAGCUCCUGAUCGAAGCCCCGGUAAACGGCGGCCGUAACUAUAACGGUCCUAAGGUAGCGAAAUUCCUUGUCGGGUAAGUUCCGACCUGCACGAAUGGCGUAAUGAUGGCCAGGCUGUCUCCACCCGAGACUCAGUGAAAUUGAACUCGCUGUGAAGAUGCAGUGUACCCGCGGCAAGACGGAAAGACCCCGUGAACCUUUACUAUAGCUUGACACUGAACAUUGAGCCUUGAUGUGUAGGAUAGGUGGGAGGCUUUGAAGCGUGGACGCCAGUCUGCGUGGAGCCGACCUUGAAAUACCACCCUUUAAUGUUUGAUGUUCUAACGUGGACCCGUAAUCCGGGUUGCGGACAGUGUCUGGUGGGUAGUUUGACUGGGGCGGUCUCCUCCUAAAGAGUAACGGAGGAGCACGAAGGUUGGCUAAUCCUGGUCGGACAUCAGGAGGUUAGUGCAAUGGCAUAAGCCAGCUUGACUGCGAGCGUGACGGCGCGAGCAGGUGCGAAAGCAGGUCAUAGUGAUCCGGUGGUUCUGAAUGGAAGGGCCAUCGCUCAACGGAUAAAAGGUACUCCGGGGAUAACAGGCUGAUACCGCCCAAGAGUUCAUAUCGACGGCGGUGUUUGGCACCUCGAUGUCGGCUCAUCACAUCCUGGGGCUGAAGUAGGUCCCAAGGGUAUGGCUGUUCGCCAUUUAAAGUGGUACGCGAGCUGGGUUUAGAACGUCGUGAGACAGUUCGGUCCCUAUCUGCCGUGGGCGCUGGAGAACUGAGGGGGGCUGCUCCUAGUACGAGAGGACCGGAGUGGACGCAUCACUGGUGUUCGGGUUGUCAUGCCAAUGGCACUGCCCGGUAGCUAAAUGCGGAAGAGAUAAGUGCUGAAAGCAUCUAAGCACGAAACUUGCCCCGAGAUGAGUUCU
RNAcentral lists this ribosomal RNA (2237 nucleotides) under Salmonella enterica. Its description in RNAcentral is "bacterial LSU rRNA". It matches the Rfam family "Bacterial large subunit ribosomal RNA", at positions 592 to 2812 of the family's 2925-position model. Lineage: Bacteria; Pseudomonadati; Pseudomonadota; Gammaproteobacteria; Enterobacterales; Enterobacteriaceae. The record is from RNAcentral.